This 75-nucleotide transfer RNA is filed under the name Caldivirga maquilingensis IC-167. RNAcentral's name for it is "tRNA-Thr (CGT) (tRNA-Thr-CGT-1-1)". It matches the Rfam family "tRNA". Rfam says of the family: Transfer RNA (tRNA) molecules are approximately 80 nucleotides in length. Their secondary structure includes four short double-helical elements and three loops (D, anti-codon, and T loops). The record is from RNAcentral. Lineage: Archaea; Thermoproteati; Thermoproteota; Thermoprotei; Thermoproteales; Thermoproteaceae.
GCCCCGGUAGCUCAGCCUGGUCGGAGCGCCCGCCUCGUAAGCGGGAGGUCCCGGGUUCGAAUCCCGGCCGGGGCU